UAUAUAUAUAUAAAAAACAGGUCCUCUAAUGCUAUAAUUUAAAUUGAAUUAUUAAUGUUAACAAUAUGAAACUGUACAUCUUUGUAUACAUGCUGUAUAUGUGAAUAGCAGUCCUUGUUGUGUAUUUCCACUUACAUUGUUUUCAGUAUUUAAAUUUCUAACCAUGCCCAUGUGGUCAGUAGAGAUUUACAGACAAUUUGAAAAAUGUACCAGAGCCGGGCUUCUUGUCCGCGGGGAAAAUCUAACAUUAAUCUAACAUUUUGUUUCCUCAAAGCAAGCUCAGCUGUUAUUUAUUGAUUAGCCUAUGAUGAACUGAGCAUAGGCUUUUUUUUUAUUAUUUCAAAAUCAAUAACUAAUGCAUAAAUAUACUGAAUUUAAUAUAUACUUACAGAACGGUAUGCAUAAGAUGUUUUAAAUCAUAUUUGAUUUUAUGGAAUGCCACCUUCCCCCACAACAUGAACAUACUGCAGAUAUGAUUAUAUGUCUUUGUUUUGUCACAUAGCCGACAAAACACCGUGACAGAGGUUGUGUUCGGUGUUAUGCAGUGCUGUGUUUUUGACAUUCACGGUGCCUUUCGGAUAGGAAAAGAAUUGUGUGUCUAGUUUGAAAAUACCUGAUAUGUAUAGCUAUGUGCAGCACAUCGUUAGUUGGAACUGGAAUAGAGUUUACCACAGAGUGAGAUGAUUACGUCUAUUUCAGGCUGAGCUUGCUUUGGAGAAACCAGAUUAGCAUGAUGUAACAUUACGUUUUUGCGUAUAUAAGUGUUGUCCAGCCCCAGAUGGAUUUUCCUGCAUCAUCCUAUGUUUGGAAUUAGCUGAUACAUGUGUAAGAAACACAGAAAGGUUCAUGUGUGUUAGUCCUAAGGCUUGGAAUGGGAAUCUCUUGGUCAGUAAAAAAAAAAAAAAGAAGAAGAGAAAACGCCUUGUAUACAAUAAGCUUAAGUAUAUAAUGGUGAUGCUCUUUAACUUGUAAUAUCUGUGGAUGUUUGAAUGUACUGAAGAGUUGUUUUUUUUUUUUUUUAAAUCAAUGUGAUUAUCACAAUGUCCGCUCAUUAACAGUCUAUUAAAAUCUGACAGGUUUGAAGUAAUUUGUUGUCACACUACUGGCUGAUGUGUGUGAUCACCUACACAGAAAUACUCUCAAUGAAACAGGUAUAUAUCAAAUGGUUUUACUUCACCCCGAUGUUCUGUCAGGUCAGUAUGGAAAUUAAAAUUUCUUGUGGUUAAUGAUCAGUAUUGUAUAAUUAAGCUUGACAUUAUAUAGUAAGAUAUGUUGCCUUGUCAAAUUAUAUCGUUUAACUACAGGGUGUCAAAAAAGUCUCCAUACAUAGGGGAAAUGAACACUUUUUAGCACAAUGUCUUCCAAAAUUGUUUAUACAUAGUUUAUAUUAUAUAGCCUUAUAUAUUUAUAUCAGAUAGCUUAAAAAAAAAACACAAAAGAAGAACGUAUUGAAAUCAUUCUCAUGGCUAGAUCUGGAAGCUGUCGCAAGGUUAUGAUUUGAUUUUAACAGGAAACAGGACAAACACAUAACUCACGACACUGUUGCCAAACUCACCCUGUAGUUAUUACUCCAAUUUUUUCUGUAGUAUAUCAAGCAAACUUAAAAAGAGCAGGCCAAGGAAGUCAUAACAGUGUUCAUCUAGUCAGGAGAAUUUUGCAUUUAGUGGAUUUAGACAGAACACGGGAGUUAAAUCUAGUCCUCAAAUGGCUAGUGUAGCUACAGGUUUUAAUUCCCACUAAGCAGGAGCACAC
This is a long non-coding RNA of Ictalurus punctatus (channel catfish), 1752 nucleotides long. The record is from Ensembl. NCBI's taxonomy places the organism in Eukaryota, Metazoa, Chordata, Actinopteri, Siluriformes, Ictaluridae.